UACGUAGGGGACAAGCGUUGUCCGGAAUCAUUGGGCGUAAAGAGCGUGUAGGCGGCCAGAAAAGUCCGCUGUGAAAACUCGAGGCUCAACUUCGAGCUGUCGGUGGAAACUUUCUGGCUAGAGUCCGGAAGAGGAGAAUGGAAUUCCUGGUGUAGCGGUGAAAUGCGCAGAUAUCAGGAAGAACACCAGUGGCGAAGGCGGCUCACUGGCCCGGUACUGACGCUGAGGCGCGAAAGCGUGGGGAGCAAACAGG
Molecule: ribosomal RNA, 253 nt
Filed under: uncultured bacterium
Lineage: Bacteria
Description: partial 16S ribosomal RNA
Rfam family: Bacterial small subunit ribosomal RNA
Source: RNAcentral